RNAcentral lists this transfer RNA (74 nucleotides) under Alkalinema sp. RU_4_3. Its description in RNAcentral is "tRNA-Gly". It matches the Rfam family "tRNA". From Rfam's summary of the family: Transfer RNA (tRNA) molecules are approximately 80 nucleotides in length. The record is from RNAcentral. Lineage: Bacteria; Bacillati; Cyanobacteriota; Cyanophyceae; Leptolyngbyales; Leptolyngbyaceae.
GCGAUCGUAGUGUAAUGGCAGCAUCCUGGUCUUCCACACCUUAGGUACGAGUUCGAAUCUCGUCGAUCGCUCCA